AUUGAACGCUGGCGGCAUGCCUUACACAUGCAAGUCGAACGGCAGCACAGGAGCAAUCCUGGUGGCGAGUGGCGAACGGGUGAGUAAUAUAUCGGAACGUGCCCAGUUGUGGGGGAUAACGUAGCGAAAGCUACGCUAAUACCGCAUACGAUCUAUGGAUGAAAGCGGGGGAUCGCAAGACCUCGCGCGAUUGGAGCGGCCGAUAUCAGAUUAGGUAGUUGGUGAGGUAAAGGCUCACCAAGCCGACGAUCUGUAGCUGGUCUGAGAGGACGACCAGCCACACUGGGACUGAGACACGGCCCAGACUCCUACGGGAGGCAGCAGUGGGGAAUUUUGGGACAAUGGGCGCAAGCCUGAUCCAGCAAUGCCGCGUGCAGGAUGAAGGCCU
This 388-nucleotide ribosomal RNA is filed under the name uncultured bacterium. RNAcentral describes it as "bacterial SSU rRNA". It matches the Rfam family "Bacterial small subunit ribosomal RNA", at positions 30 to 417 of the family's 1533-position model. The record is from RNAcentral.